UACGGAGGGUGCAAGCGUUAUCCGGAUUCACUGGGUUUAAAGGGUGCGUAGGCGGAUAUGUAAGUCCGUGGUGAAAUCUCUGGGCUUAACCCGGAAACUGCCAUGGAUACUAUGUGUCUUGAAUGUUGUUGAGGUGAGCGGAAUAUGUCAUGUAGCGGUGAAAUGCUUAGAUAUGACAUAGAACACCAAUUGCGAAGGCAGCUGGCUGCACAAAUAUUGACACUGAGGCACGAAAGCGUGGGGAUCAAACAGG
Molecule: ribosomal RNA, 253 nt
Filed under: uncultured bacterium
Lineage: Bacteria
Description: partial 16S ribosomal RNA
Rfam family: Bacterial small subunit ribosomal RNA
Source: RNAcentral